RNAcentral lists this microRNA precursor (78 nucleotides) under Myotis brandtii (Brandt's bat). RNAcentral describes it as "mir-9229 microRNA precursor family". It matches the Rfam family "mir-9229 microRNA precursor family". The record is from Rfam by way of RNAcentral. Lineage: Eukaryota; Metazoa; Chordata; Mammalia; Chiroptera; Vespertilionidae.
GAGACACCCUUAUGGGGCAGGACUUGCUUCAGUGGGGCUUUGGUGCUCACUGAGUCUGCCCUCUAUGAGUGUGUCUCU